Molecule: non-coding RNA, 98 nt
Organism: Naganishia cerealis
Lineage: Eukaryota; Fungi; Basidiomycota; Tremellomycetes; Filobasidiales; Filobasidiaceae
Source: the annotation of a GenBank genome assembly
GUCUGCUUAGCUCAGUGGGAGAGCGACGGUCUGAAGCGUCGAGUUCAUAAGAACUUAUCGUUUACCGCAGGUCCUGUGUUCAAUCCACAGAGCGGACA